This 3040-nucleotide ribosomal RNA is filed under the name Klebsiella quasipneumoniae. RNAcentral's name for it is "23S ribosomal RNA". It matches the Rfam family "Bacterial large subunit ribosomal RNA". The record is from RNAcentral. Lineage: Bacteria; Pseudomonadati; Pseudomonadota; Gammaproteobacteria; Enterobacterales; Enterobacteriaceae.
GGGUUGUGAGGUUAAGCGACUAAGCGUACACGGUGGAUGCCCUGGCAGUCAGAGGCGAUGAAGGACGUGCUAAUCUGCGAAAAGCGUCGGUAAGGUGAUAUGAACCGUUAUAACCGGCGAUGUCCGAAUGGGGAAACCCAGUGCAAUUCGUUGCACUAUCGUUAACUGAAUACAUAGGUUAACGAGGCGAACCGGGGGAACUGAAACAUCUAAGUACCCCGAGGAAAAGAAAUCAACCGAGAUUCCCCCAGUAGCGGCGAGCGAACGGGGAGCAGCCCAGAGUCUGAAUCAGCUUGUGUGUUAGUGGAACGGUCUGGAAAGUCCGACGGUACAGGGUGAUAGUCCCGUACACCAAAAUGCACAGGUUGUGAACUCGAAGAGUAGGGCGGGACACGUGGUAUCCUGUCUGAAUAUGGGGGGACCAUCCUCCAAGGCUAAAUACUCCUGACUGACCGAUAGUGAACCAGUACCGUGAGGGAAAGGCGAAAAGAACCCCGGCGAGGGGAGUGAAAAAGAACCUGAAACCGUGUACGUACAAGCAGUGGGAGCACCUUCGNNNUCCUGACUGACCGAUAGUGAACCAGUACCGUGAGGGAAAGGCGAAAAGAACCCCGGCGAGGGGAGUGAAAAAGAACCUGAAACCGUGUACGUACAAGCAGUGGGAGCACCUUCGGGUGUGACUGCGUACCUUUUGUAUAAUGGGUCAGCGACUUAUAUUCUGUAGCAAGGUUAACCGUAUAGGGGAGCCGCAGGGAAACCGAGUCUUAACUGGGCGUUAAGUUGCAGGGUAUAGACCCGAAACCCGGUGAUCUAGCCAUGGGCAGGUUGAAGGUUGGGUAACACUAACUGGAGGACCGAACCGACUAAUGUUGAAAAAUUAGCGGAUGACUUGUGGCUGGGGGUGAAAGGCCAAUCAAACCGGGAGAUAGCUGGUUCUCCCCGAAAGCUAUUUAGGUAGCGCCUCGUGAAUUCAUCUUCGGGGGUAGAGCACUGUUUCGGCUAGGGGGUCAUCCCGACUUACCAACCCGAUGCAAACUACGAAUACCGAAGAAUGUUAUCACGGGAGACACACGGCGGGUGCUAACGUCCGUCGUGAAGAGGGAAACAACCCAGACCGCCAGCUAAGGUCCCAAAGUCAUGGUUAAGUGGGAAACGAUGUGGGAAGGCACAGACAGCCAGGAUGUUGGCUUAGAAGCAGCCAUCAUUUAAAGAAAGCGUAAUAGCUCACUGGUCGAGUCGGCCUGCGCGGAAGAUGUAACGGGGCUAAACCAUGCACCGAAGCUGCGGCAGCGACACGAUGUGUUGUUGGGUAGGGGAGCGUUCUGUAAGCCUGCGAAGGUGGCCUGUGAGGGUUGCUGGAGGUAUCAGAAGUGCGAAUGCUGACAUAAGUAACGAUAAAGCGGGUGAAAAGCCCGCUCGCCGGAAGACCAAGGGUUCCUGUCCAACGUUAAUCGGGGCAGGGUGAGUCGACCCCUAAGGCGAGGCCGAAAGGCGUAGUCGAUGGGAAACAGGUUAAUAUUCCUGUACUUGGUGUUACUGCGAAGGGGGGACGGAGAAGGCUAUGUUAGCCGGGCGACGGUUGUCCCGGUUUAAGCAUGUAGGCUGGUUAUCCAGGCAAAUCCGGAUAAUCAAGGCUGAGGUGUGAUGACGAGGUACUACGGUACUGAAGUAACAAAUGCCCUGCUUCCAGGAAAAGCCUCUAAGCAUCAGGUAACAUCAAAUCGUACCCCAAACCGACACAGGUGGUCAGGUAGAGAAUACCAAGGCGCUUGAGAGAACUCGGGUGAAGGAACUAGGCAAAAUGGUGCCGUAACUUCGGGAGAAGGCACGCUGGUGUGUAGGUGAAGUCCCUGCGGAUGGAGCUGAGACCAGUCGAAGAUACCAGCUGGCUGCAACUGUUUAUUAAAAACACAGCACUGUGCAAACACGAAAGUGGACGUAUACGGUGUGACGCCUGCCCGGUGCCGGAAGGUUAAUUGAUGGGGUUAUCCGUAAGGAGAAGCUCUUGAUCGAAGCCCCGGUAAACGGCGGCCGUAACUAUAACGGUCCUAAGGUAGCGAAAUUCCUUGUCGGGUAAGUUCCGACCUGCACGAAUGGCGUAAUGAUGGCCAGGCUGUCUCCACCCGAGACUCAGUGAAAUUGAACUCGCUGUGAAGAUGCAGUGUACCCGCGGCAAGACGGAAAGACCCCGUGAACCUUUACUAUAGCUUGACACUGAACAUUGAGCCUUGAUGUGUAGGAUAGGUGGGAGGCUUUGAAGCGUGGACGCCAGUCUGCGUGGAGCCAACCUUGAAAUACCACCCUUUAAUGUUUGAUGUUCUAACGUGGGCCCCUUAUCGGGGUUGCGGACAGUGUCUGGUGGGUAGUUUGACUGGGGCGGUCUCCUCCCAAAGCGUAACGGAGGAGCACGAAGGUUAGCUAAUCCUGGUCGGACAUCAGGAGGUUAGUGCAAUGGCAUAAGCUAGCUUGACUGCGAGCGUGACGGCGCGAGCAGGUGCGAAAGCAGGUCAUAGUGAUCCGGUGGUUCUGAAUGGAAGGGCCAUCGCUCAACGGAUAAAAGGUACUCCGGGGAUAACAGGCUGAUACCGCCCAAGAGUUCAUAUCGACGGCGGUGUUUGGCACCUCGAUGUCGGCUCAUCACAUCCUGGGGCUGAAGUAGGUCCCAAGGGUAUGGCUGUUCGCCAUUUAAAGUGGUACGCGAGCUGGGUUUAGAACGUCGUGAGACAGUUCGGUCCCUAUCUGCCGUGGGCGCUGGAGAAUUGAGGGGGGCUGCUCCUAGUACGAGAGGACCGGAGUGGACGCAUCACUGGUGUUCGGGUUGUCAUGCCAAUGGCACUGCCCGGUAGCUAAAUGCGGAAGAGAUAAGUGCUGAAAGCAUCUAAGCACGAAACUUGCCCCGAGAUGAGUUCUCCCUGAGACUUUAAGUCUCCUGAAGGAACGUUGAAGACGACGACGUUGAUAGGCCGGGUGUGUAAGCGCAGCGAUGCGUUGAGCUAACCGGUACUAAUGAACCGUGAGGCUUAACCUUACAACGCCGAAG